UACGAACGAAACGGAACUUCCGCAAGAAGAAAAUUCGACCCUUCGUCGUUAGGGCGAGGAGACAGCAAAAAGACGAUCAUCUGCCGGAGAAAAUCGACGUCUCGUCGUUUCGAUUUCCAAGAACGCGGCAGUAUUGAAUAACAAAAAUGAGACUAGAAAUGAUACCUUAGGAGUAAGGAUCACAACUGACAUUCAGAAAAGCAAUGUUGAGACAAAGAAUAACUUCACG
Molecule: long non-coding RNA, 229 nt
Organism: Polistes canadensis
Lineage: Eukaryota; Metazoa; Arthropoda; Insecta; Hymenoptera; Vespidae
Exons: 3
Source: RefSeq, a predicted model, not a curated record